CAUAAAUUAACCCUUAACAUAAAUUCCUAAACAGUAGGCUUAAACCUAAAUUAUAAAUUUUAAACCUUAAGCCAUUGAUGUCUAAUACACAAUUUUUAUACUAUAAAACAGAAAUCAAGACAACUAUAUGAACUGCAUGUGUUAUUAAUUUUUUUUCUAUAUUUUUUCUUAGAAGACGAAUAUUUAAGAUCAAAAGUGAAUUAUCUUUAUGUAUUUUAUUAUGAAAAAUUUCGUCCUUUAGGCAUGUGUCCUUUUGUUUUGUGGUGGCUCUAUUCUUCCGAUGAUUAUUCAUUCUCUGACUCAUUUUUUUGGUUUUUGUGCUGGUGCUUGAUCCCGAUCAUUUGUUCCGAGAAUUGUUUUGUUUCAUAUUUUAUCUUUUUAUUUUUUUCUGACAUCUACUAGUUCUAGCCAAGACAUUCUAUGGUAAGAUGAGGUAGGUUAGUCUUCUUUGUUGAUCUUUUUUUAGCUUCAAACCUUUAUUAAGUUAGUGUUACUAUGCUAAGAUGAGAUAGGUUAUGUUAUUAAAUAUGUAAAAUAUAUAUUUUUUUUCAUUUUUUUAUUUAUUCAUCUUGAAUUUUAGUAAACAAUAAAAUAAAUUAUCAAAUUUCAUACGAUAAUAGUUAGUGCGAAAAUGAUUAGAUAGUUCACGAUUAGAAAGUACUUGACCAAAUUGUAAUAAUCUAAAAGAAAAAGGACCUAGAAUGUAAAAAAAACAUGGAUGACAUGUGUCGCAAAAACUCCCUGCCACUUGUCAGAAGAAGGACAAAAAAACCAACUUUAUAUAUACAGAUUGCCAAAACAAAACAAAGAAUAAAGUAAAAAAAGAAUAAGCUUUUGUCGUUCAGUUAGAAGAAUAAACAUUUUCAACUAUCUCUUUCUUCAAUUUUCUUUUCAAGGAAAAUAAGAUCCGACUAUCAAUAUGGAGAAAUAUGCAGAGGAUCUAAUCAAAUGGUGUCUCACCGGAGUUAUCAGCUCGUAAAGGAGAAGCAUGUCGACACCCAGGAGUUGGCCGCCUUUCUUAACAGUUCUUGCUUCCCAGAAUCCGAGGAGACAGACCUCAGCGAUGUUUGAACAUCAUUCAGCUUUCAAAUCGGUGAGUAGAGUAAACGAAUUAGCCAUUGCUUGAUUUGAUUCUUCACAGAGAAAAACUCUUGGAAUUUCGUUUUGACAAUGAUAACAAUGUUUUUGGAUUCAGGAUUUUAAUUGGAUUCGGGAUUAGGGUUUCUAUGUGAUGAUAAAAGUCUUGGCUUUUCAGUGAUCCUAUGCGGCUGCGGCUUGAUCCCCAAUAAGGAAACGUCUAGUGGAAAAAUAUGCAGCAAUCAUUGAAGGAUGGAGCAAAACGAUUCAGUAGCUGAUGAAAAGGUUUCUAUUCUGGUUUUCAGUGAUCCUCUUAGUUUCCCCGCUUGCUUUAGUUAUAGGUGGAAAUAGUUCUGAUUGUGUAUCAUGAUGGCUUAUACUUGCAGUUGGGAAAUUGAGCGUUGAGACCCAGUGGUGUUCUCAGUUUUGACAGUCCUGUUCUUGCCCAUGAUUUGCUUCUUCUUUAUAGGGAGACCCAAUGGCGUUCUCAGUUUUGACGGUCCUGGUCCGUUGCAUUGUACCCAGUCUGUGUUGUACCGAGUAUUGGUCUUCAUCUAAAUUCCAUUUUAAUCUCCACAAAGGACUGUGAAAGUUGCUAUCCAAGAGAUGAGGUGACUUCAAGCUCUUGGGAUUCAAGUUGCUCACUAUCCUGGAAAUCAAGUGAUGCUCGCUUAUCCUGAACUCAUUGAUGCUGCAGUGAUCUCGUAAGUCUUUUGUACCUGAAACAAUUUUAAGUUAGCAUUUUGGUUUAGCUUGGUUGUGAUUUACGUCAUAAAGCCCAAAACGGUUUUGACGAGCAAACAUUGUUUUUUAGGAUUUGCAAGAAAAUGAAGCCAGGAUCAGAUCGUGCAGAAUUGGUUAAAACAGCAAAGUUAAUCGUAUGGAAUGAUAUUAUUAGAUCUUCUUAAGAAAAACCUUUUGCGGGUAAAGUUUUUGUUUUCGGUGGCGAUUUCAGACAGAUAUUUUCGGUUAUACCUGGAGGAGGUAGAGCAGAGACUGUUUUGGCGACUGAAUUGGUCAUAUCUUUGGGAGCACUGCAUAGUUUUAAAGCUAGCAAAAAACAUGAAAUUGCUUGCUGGUCUUGCUGAUGAUGCAGCAAAAGACCUCGAGUCUUUCUCAGAAUGGAUUUUGGAUAUUGGAGAUGGAAAAAUAAAUUUGCCUAACGACGGUCAAGUUGAGAUAGACAUCCCUUUGGAUAUGCUGAUAAAAAAAACAGUGGAGAAGAAGAUUCUACUGAAACUAUCGCAAAAGAGGUUUAUGGACAAUCUUUUCGGACGUCAACAUAUAAGGAUUUGUAUAGACAUCGUCGAGCCAUUACGAUUCCCACAAAUGAUGAACUGGAUAAAAUAAAUGAUUACAUGCUUUCACAGUUGCCAGGUAACAUGUUUUUUUCAUUAACUCUUUAUGUUCCACUAACUAUUUAUUGCAAGUAAAGAAAAUAAUUUUACAUAUGAUGCUUUCACGUGAAGAGAAGGUUUACCUUAGCUCUGACAGCAUUAUUCCAUCCGAUGUUGACAUAGAAGAAAAUGUGGUAUAUCCUACAUAGUUUUGAAUAGUGUUAAAGUCGCUGCAUUGCCUAGACACUGUUUAAAGCUCAAAGUUGGUGCUCCUAUCAUGUGUCUUCGUAACAUGGAUGCUGCAGAUGGCUUAUGUAAUGGUACUAAGCUAAUUGUUACUCA
Long non-coding RNA from Brassica rapa (field mustard), 2756 nucleotides. RefSeq lists it as uncharacterized. The record is from RefSeq and is a predicted model, not a curated record. NCBI's taxonomy places the organism in Eukaryota, Viridiplantae, Streptophyta, Magnoliopsida, Brassicales, Brassicaceae.